Molecule: ribosomal RNA, 108 nt
Filed under: uncultured bacterium
Lineage: Bacteria
Description: partial 16S ribosomal RNA
Rfam family: Bacterial small subunit ribosomal RNA
Source: RNAcentral
AGCCUUGUACGCACCGCCCGUCAAGCCACGAAAGCCGGUAGUACUUGAAGUCGCUUGCCUAACCCUCAAAGGAAGGUGGCGCCGACGGUAAGACCGGUGAUUGGGACU